ACCUCAUGAUUUGGUCAUUGCAUUAAAUUGUUGUUGAAUCUUUUCCAAGCCUCAUAUAAUGAUUCACGAUUAAGUUGGGGAAAGUUGGUAAUUUCAUCCCUUAGUU
Molecule: non-coding RNA, 106 nt
Organism: Capsicum annuum
Lineage: Eukaryota; Viridiplantae; Streptophyta; Magnoliopsida; Solanales; Solanaceae
Source: Rfam